Molecule: ribosomal RNA, 492 nt
Filed under: uncultured bacterium
Lineage: Bacteria
Description: partial 16S ribosomal RNA
Rfam family: Bacterial small subunit ribosomal RNA
Source: RNAcentral
AGUGAACGCUGGCGGUAGGCCUAACACAUGCAAGUCGAACGGCAGCACAGUAAGAGCUUGCUCUUACGGGUGUCGAGUGGCGGACGGGUGCGGAAUACAUCGGAAUCUACUUUUUCGUGGGGGAUAACGUAGGGAAACUUACGCUAAUACCGCAUACGACCUACUGGUGAAAGCAGGGGAUCUUCGGACCUUGCGCGAUUGAAUGAGCCGAUGUCGGAUUAGCUAGUUGGCGGGGUAAAGGCCCACAAAGGCGACGAUCCGUAGCUGGUCUGAGAGGAUGAUCAGCCACACUGGAACUGAGACACGGUACAGACUCCUACGGGAGGCAGCAGUGGGGAAUAUUAGACAAUGGGCGCAAGCCUGAUCCAGCCAUACCGCGUGGGUGAAGAAGGACUUCGGGUUGUAAAGCCCUUUUGUUGGGAAAGAAAAGCAGCAGGUUAACACCCCGCUGUUCUGACGGUACCCAAAGAAUAAGCACCGGCUAACUUCGUG